GUGCAGCCCAGAUGACUAGGGGGUUUGCAGGUACAGAAGGAUGGCAUAGGGCAAGAGCAGUGAAGGAAGAAUGUUUGAGGCUCUGAGUAACUGCCCAGUGAGGGCACUUAGCCCCGCCCCUUCUGGUUCACACAGUAUAAGAAGCCCAGCUGCCAGAAGGAGGCGUCUUUUGCACUCAGAAUGACCUACCGGACAGAGCUCCUUUAAUUAACCCCUUUAUUCUACAGCAAUUGUUUUACCCGGAAGGCUAUUCACACUGUCGUCAAGAGGUGUGAUUUUUGUUUGGACUGUUGUCAUUAAAUGAGGUGACCUGACCUAAAGAAGACAAUUAAACCCAUUCCUAUUAUAAACAAUAUUCCGGAGAACGAACCACUUACCACUUCCUCAUUUACAUCACUUCCGGCUCCUGGAGAUGACAUCACUCCCGGUCCCGCUCCGAUGACGUCACUUCCGGUCCCCCAGAGAUGACGUCACUUCCAGUCCCUCUCUGAUGACGUCACUUCCU
Polypterus senegalus (gray bichir) is the source of this 505-nucleotide long non-coding RNA. RefSeq lists it as uncharacterized. The transcript is spliced from 3 exons. Lineage: Eukaryota; Metazoa; Chordata; Cladistia; Polypteriformes; Polypteridae. The record is from RefSeq and is a predicted model, not a curated record.